Molecule: ribosomal RNA, 785 nt
Filed under: Chrysotila carterae
Lineage: Eukaryota; Haptophyta; Isochrysidales; Isochrysidaceae
Description: eukaryotic LSU rRNA
Rfam family: Eukaryotic large subunit ribosomal RNA
Source: RNAcentral
AGUGUCGCGCAUGAAUGGAUUCGUGAGAUUCCCACUGUCCCUAUCUACUGUCUAGCGAAACCACAGCCAGGGGAACGGGCUUGGAAGAAUCAGCGGGGAAAGAAGACCCUGUUGAGCUUGACUCUAGUCUGUUACUGUGGAACGACUUGAUGGGUGUAGAAUAUGCGGGAGGCGCGAGCCGACAGUGAAAUACCGCAACCGUCAACGUUGUUUUACUUACUUGGUCGGGCGGAGAGGGAUCUGAUCCCACUUUUGGGUCGAAGCGUGCGUGUGUGCGCGAUCCGCGUCGGGGACACUAACAGGUGUGGAGUUUGGCUGGGGCGGCACGUCUGUUAAAAAAUAACGCAGGCGCCCGAUUUUGAGCUCAAUGAGAACAGAAAUCUCAUGUGGACCGAAAGGGGAAAAGCUCGGUUGAUUUUGAUUUUCAGUACGAAUACAAACCGCGAAAGCGUGGCCUAUCGAUCCUUAGGUCUUUGUGAAUUUCAAGCUAGAGGUGUCAGAAAAGUUACCACAGGGAUAACUGGCUUGUGGCUGCCAAGCGUUCAUAGCGACGUAGCUUUUUGAUCCUUCGAUGUCGGCUCUUCCUAUCACUGCCUCGCAGCAGGGGCCAAAUGCAGGAUUGUUCACCCACCAACAGGGAACGUGAGCUGGGUUUAGACCGUCGUGAGACAGGUUAGUUUUACCCUACUGCUGUCCGCUUUUGCACGGUAAUUUGGUUCAGUACGAGAGGNNCCACCAAUUCGCAUCAUCGGCAUAGCCGCCGCCGGAAACGGCGAUGCGGCGAC